GCUAAAGUAAGGUAAACAGAGUCUCCAUUCAAGUAAACCAUAGAAAGAUCUUCCACAGGAAAGAAGAUAUAAACAAUAGAAUCCGCUGUUUGUUCCAGUUAACUUAUUAAUUAAGCUCGAGAAUCCGCCGUGCAAUUGUAAGUUACAAGCGGUUAAUCUUCCAUUCCUCAAAGAAAGUAGAGUUCCAAAAGAGCCCUUCCCUUGUGCGAGUUCUUUGACUUAUACCUGCUAUACUCACGUUUUUUCUUCUUGGGAAUUCUAUCAGUGCUGUGCUUUCCCUAACUACACUGCUAGCACUAAAAACCUGUAUAACGCAAACGCAUCAAGUUGUAUUCCAGCUAUAGGUUGGGCCAGCCCAGAGCCAGAGUAAGGUUCGGCAAAAGAACAAGUUGAGUAGAGAGAAGAAACUAGAGCUAGUGAAGAAGCCAAGCCGGGGGAGCUGCCACAGAGGGGCGUUUGAGCUAGCAGUAAUAGGUGGAGCAGAGCCAGAGCCGAGUGGAGGCCUAGUAUCUAGAUCAUAGGGGAGAUUCUCCAUUUGCAUCGGACAGUUUUUCUACUUGCCUAGUGUCUUGUCUAGUCUAAGCUUGGCCCUUUCUUAACCGCUAACCACGAACAAAGCAAAAAGAAAACCAGAGGGAAUUCCCAAUUGGAUGAUGAUUAGCUUAUUCCGAAAACUGCUGCGGAAAAGAUCACACGGAUGGACAACGGUGAUUUCAAACAUCACGUUAUGCUUAUUACAUCCGAGAAAAGCACUUUCUUGCAUAAGCAGGUGGAAUCUUUCCUUUAGGUAGUAGAACUAGAGCUUAAAGCAACCCGCGGGGGCACAAUGUAGGUUGGGGUCUAGUGUAAGAAAUGUAGACUCGAUUCCAUACAAUCCGGGGCUUACGGCAAUAAAUCAAAUAUCAGAAGGCAUAACAGAGGCAUAGAGGGAUUACAAAGAAUUCUUUUUUCUCGGGAAAACGUGACUUUGACUCUUCUCUUCCCCUGAACUGUUUGAGCUCCAUGCUAUAGACUCUUUUAUCACAUUCUGAAUUCGCUAUCCCACGGUGCCGGAUCGAAAGCCUGCUAAAGUAGAUGGGAUUUCUCGCGCUUGGGUUCUAUUUGUCUUGCGGAUUCUUCAAGUACGUACGACCGACUGAAAGAGUUGGCUGUAGUUCAUAAGUAAAGUAGAUAGAAGCUCUGGUUUGCUGUAGUUCCAAGUAGAAAGAAGCCGAAUGCCCAGAAUCAGCUGUGAGACUAUGCUAAUGUAACUGAAUUUCGACUUGGUAACAGUCUUGCGUCUCGUUCAACUGACCUAUAACUAUGCUAAUUGCUAAUGUAAUUGAAUUGAUACUUUGUCACUUUCCUUUAAAACACACUCAUAUCGUAGGAAAACUCUGUCCUUUCGUGCUUAGUAGCAAUGUAUAGGGUCAGCCUCAAUUCUGAAAGCCAUUCGGCUCUCUUCUUUUGCACUCAACUCUCUUCCUUCUGUACUUGCUCACUCGAUAACACUCGAACAGACAGAGAAAUAGGGCAAUUCCGGUCAUUAUAAGACGGGACAAUCCGUUUCGUGUUUCAAAUAAGUUCCUCUGCUCUGGUCUACCACUACUCUUUAAAGUGAAGCGCACCUUUAGUCUCGUCUGAACACCGCGCUCAAGUACUUUACUCAAUUGCUUGUUUCAUCUAAUCCACAUAGUAUAUAUUAUAGGAUUGUGAAUCAUCUAUUUUCUUAAUCUUACCUCCUUGGCUUAGACACAGCUGCGUAUUAGAGAACUGCGGAUUCCAUAUCAAUAGCUCUGGAUUUGAUUCAAGUAUUUAUAUAUCAACAACAAUACAAAGCUGCUACUUAUGCCCGUGCAUAUCUGAAAAUCCUCUUUCGUUUCGAACAAGUUUGAUAUGCUAGAGGGAAGUGCCAUACACCUAUUCAAUUGGCUCUAAGCCCACAUUCUUCCUAGCAACCAACCGAGUCGAUGUCAAAGAACCCGAGCUAGGGCCUUCUCUGUGCAUUCAUGUGCUGCUCUGGGAGUUGCAGGACUCAUUUUCUUCCUUUUUCAUAGCGGGGCGAAGUCCUAGACUAUACUCUAAAGGCGAUUGGCUUGGUCUUCAUUCAGCUGUACUAGAUGCUGUAGCCCAGGCAUCAAUGCACUAACUCAAAGACUUCUAUAUACGAGAUGCACAGUGGGAGCAAAGCGGUAUCAAGUCAUCCCUCUCACAAGUCAGUUGCCUUUCUUCUAAUUUAUACAUUAUCCCAUUUCUACGUGCAAGCAGAUAAUCAGUCUCGUCUUCAUCCUAUUGUGAUGUCAUCUCUAUUAAACCCGCUAUUUCUAUCAUGCGCUUCCGUCUUCUCUUCCAACAGAAGCAAUAGCUGCUCAGCUCCUUCUCUGGAAUCCGAUCUGCGGUAUCAAAAGGAAAGAAUGGAAUUAAUGUCCAACAGACUCUCUCGGUUGGCGCCUCGUACUUUGACUUAUGCAAUAAAGAAUGGAGCUGGGGUUGACAAGAAAUCUACUAGUGCUUAUACAAACACAAUGGAAAGAAAGAACAACACGUAGUAUAGAUAUAGGAUAUUAUUAGUUAUUAUCGCGGAUGUCUUCGUGAAAUCAAAAGUGGGAAAUCCACUAGUAAUACAAAGAAGAAAAACAAUACCCAUAAGAGUUGAGCCGGGAACUCAGACUUUCACUAACGCUAACAAGCCUACCCUUCCAUCCUUUGACUUUUUAGUGCAACCCUCUGGGCAACCUAUAAGCUAAUAGGCAAUUCCGAAUUCCCUAGGUACCUUAGAAGACUUAAUCAAGGAAUAGAAAAAACAGGUAUGGUACAGCGCACCUACAAAUAAGAUAAGAAUAGAGCGAAGGUUCUGAUGUAGUGCAUCCAGUAUGUCAUUCAUUAGUAGAAGAACUCGAUCCUGCUGCCCAAGCCUUAUUCAAAAGUAGUCCAAACCCGACUUGUUAGUGUUUAUCUUCGAAUUGCCUCUUCUCUCUCACCCCAGUGCUAUUUCCCUUAAACAAGGAAUUUCAAUCCAAAAUAGGAAUGCAAAGAAUUUCGCUUGGACACUGGACUCAAACUCGGCAGUAAAGGAAUUCCACCUAUACCGAGAAGACUUGAUCGCUACUACCGGCAAGGCUCGCUGCUACUUACAACUUAUUAGCCGGACCCCCAACUCUUUAAGGUUUCCCUUCCAGCCCAUGAGUAUUACUAAACAGGAUUUCAAUCUCAAACUAGCGCUUCUCAUACUGUCACUACUGCUUGAAAGGUGUUUCUAAGCCUGCCUAUCUAUGAAAUCUCAUUCUUAUGCUCUUUGCUUUAACUCUCCCGCUCCCCGCUUUACGGAAGUAAACUUCACUCUUAUUAAGUAAACAUCAUUCUUCUUAUUAAUAGUCAAGUGUGACUUUCCAGUCUCGCAGGCUUACUACCUUCACUUUCAUUCUGGAGUAGUAGCUACAAUUUCUAUAUGUUCCAGUGAGAAUCAUUCUGGAGUAGUAGCUUGAUUCAGUAUACUUAUGGUAUGGAAACUACAAACAAGCAAACAAGCAACUCAACAUUAACUUGCUAAUGCUUACUUUUCUAUUAUCUUUGUCAAGCUCUAUCUCUUCUCCCUAGCCUUUUCAACACUUAUUUCGGUAAACUCUAGAGAUUAGCAUUCUUUGACUGAGUGGCAUGUACUUCUAUGGCCUGGCCCCCCUUUUCAAAUGUUGAAGCAUGGCUAAGUAAUCCUACUAACAUUGCACCCAGUGCCCAGGUAGUUUGGCCAAUAGUAGGUCAAGAAAUGAUGUGGGCUGGGCGGAGGUUUCUGAAGAAUACAAAUAUAUGGGGUUUUUCUUAUUAGGCGAGCAUCCCUAAAAUGGGCUUGGUUCCAAGACGUAGAAUCAAUAUGAAAUCACUACUUUGCUGGCAAUGUGAAAUCACUACUUUCUUAGCAGGGGUUACUAGGACUUGGGUCUCUUUCUUGGGCGGGACACCAAAUCCAUGUAUGUGUAUCUUUCUCCAUUAACCAAUUUAUCGACGCUAGAGUUGAUCCUAAAGAGAAACCACUUCUUCAUGAAUUGAUCUUGCUUGAAUCGGGACCUUUUGACUUUAUAUAAACUAAAGCACAGUGAGCUACUGAUGUAAAGGCUUUAUAUUCGAACUGACUAGCCCAUAUAGCAACGUAUAUUGGAUAGGGGGCAUCAAUCCAUCUUGAAGCUAUAGCCUAGCCUGUUGAAACGCAGACGGAGACUGGGACAUAUACUAGAAAGUGGGACCUUGCACUGGUUCGUUUGGAGAGGGAAUUGAUCGCGAUGUAGGAGCACUCGUACUUUACUUAAUUAUCCAAAGGUAAAGGAGCACGGGGCACUCGCCUGGCUCAAAAUACAUUAACCUAACCGGCCAUCGCUUCCACUAGAAUCAUGAGGGUGGAUGUCUAUUCUGUCACUUAUUCUUUUUUUGUAGACGCCUAUUCUUUCUGUUUUUUAUAAAUAAAGGUGCUUAAAGCCUCAGUGACCUUUCUUUCUUCUUCACAGCCACACGAAAUCAGUCUAAGCCGAAAAGCCAUAAAGAAGGCUAGCUUCCCCAUUCCACAUGACUGCCAUAAGAGGUCGAAAAUAUCUCACUAUAAGAGGUCGAAAAUAUCUCACUAAUUAAAGCAAGCAAGUACAAGGAUGAGACAAAUGCUGCCGGAUUGCUCGUUGAAAGCGGAGGAGGAGUUAACAGUAAGGGGAGACUGCUUCAAGCCAUACAAGGACUUCUGCACUAGUAGUAAUAAAGAAAAGGGAAGUUAUAGACCAUUGUAAGUAUUAUUGAUUCAUUAUCUGUUACUUCAUUCGAAGUCAAAACUACCAAGUAUACAUCUAGACAUUCAAAACUCCGCGACUCCUCCUGGACUCACUCAACUUCAUCGGGGCGUUCAAAAGAGAAGAUCCCGUUCCCAGCUUUUUCCAGAGACGGGCUGAACGAUUUCCCUCCGGAAGAACUUGUGCAAAAGGGCCGUAGACAGAUUGGAUCGAUUUUCGAAUAUCAUAAUAUUAUACUUUAGAAAGGUGGAAUAAUACCUCCCUGGAGAAAGUCAUAACAAAUAUAAUAAUACCUCUCUGGAGAAAGUCAUAACAAUACCUCCUAGGAAUUUCCAGUGGCUCACAGGUCAACUUCACCCAGUAUGAUAGAAAGGCCUAAUUUGGUUAUGUGAAAUAAGCUACCAUUAGCUUUCUCACUUAUAUGGAUAGUAUGCUAUGACUUACUUGCAGCUUGCUUUCUUUGAGGAAUUAUUGAGUGAAGGGCGAUGCCAGUCGAUUGAUACUCUGAUUCCUACAUACCAGACUUUGAUCAAUCCUACAUGAUAGGAGAGAAAUCGUCUUAUUAAUAAAGAAGGGCACUACUAAACAAGCUCUCGCUAAUACAAUACGGGGAGAACCCGGGCAUGACCACUGAAUCAAUUCCCGUCUUAGUUUAGGGGGAAUGAAGAUACCGAGUUUAGGGGGAAUGAAGAUACCGAAUAACUAAAUAGCGUAAGUGAGGAUGCCCAUGACCUGUAGCUUAUAUUGAAGCUUAUUAACCGCUUGGGGGGCUUCUCCGCUUCAAUUGAGCAGCUGAUCUCGUAAUACUUUUUUCUUAUUGGGUUAUGAGCGGUGCAUUGACUGGCCGUGAGUCGCAUAUAUGCAUGGUAUAUUCCACGCAGCAAGCACUUCGGAUAAGAUUCUUAGAGAAGUGAGCUCACCAUCAUUCAUUGGACAGUCUCCUCUGUUCCAGCAGAAGGCUGCGUCCGCUCCCCAGCUGUAUAGGAUUUUGGACUCCGGAGAAGCAAAAUAAGUUUAGAUAGACUUUGCCAUGAUAUGCCGCUGAGAAGAGUAAUGAUCCAUAAAUGAAUGGGUCCGGACCUAUUUAAUCAGUUGACAAUCGUGGGCCAAUGAAAGAUUGAGCUAGAAAGGCUGAGCUAACUAUCAUAUACUGGACAGUAGUGGCGAUAGAUGGUGCGUAGCAGCUCGACAUAGGGUAGCUAGCUCGACAAAAGAAAGGGAGAGGAUAGACAAACUUAUGGUUUCAACUUAUGCGGUUGAUAGCAGGGUUAGAAACCUCCUCAGUAAGGUAGAUGAAUGAGUUUGCGAGUGGCUUGCCUCUCUCCGUCCUGCAGCAGAUGGAAUCAAUUACUUUUAACGACCGCAAGAAUGGAAGUUCCAUGUUGUUCCUACACAUGCUUAGGACAAAUGAAUCUAUUUCUUGAGGUAGGACGAAGACAGCGCUACUAGGAGAACAAGGAGCAACAGAUAAAUAGCUGUUUUUAUAUCAAUUCCCGAGCCCGUUCUUUCAUUUAUUCGUGUUAGUGAAUAGAGAAGUGGUUUUUUCAGUUAUUGGUUCAUAGACACUUUGGAAGUUAUUGCUUAGUUUCUCUCUCCGUUGUUGUUUACUCCCUGGGUUCUUUCAGUUAGCUCAGUGUUCUUAGCUCCUUUGCAGGUUAGUUGAUCUUCCCACCAAUGAAGCCUUUCAGACACAAAUCAAAAAACAGAUGGAAAAGCUAAGGAUAAAAGGAUGCAUGCUAGAAGACUUUGCACGAAUGGGUAAGUAUAUGUUCAGAUGCCUGAUUACCAAAGAGAUGCCUUCCUAAGCUUCAAUUAUUAGGCAGAAGCAAGAUGCCAUCGCCGCCCUUAUUAAGUUGAGCUUCCCGCCUAACCUUAGAUAGGGAGAAAAGUAAAGCACGAAGAGUUUCCGUGAUGUGGCGAUGUUUUCGUUCGCCUAUUCAAAAGGCAAUUAGGCCCCAAUUAGACGGAAUGGAAGGUGCGGAUCCUAGAUUCGAAGUUGAUGAUUCGGCUUACGAUUUGGUUAGUAUGGAAGUGCACCGCUGUUUAGCCAGAUAUUCUGAGUUCAUUAUAGGGCCUUUCGGCCUCACUCCUUUCCCGAAGCAGCAUUCCCAUGAGUUAACCAUUGAUCCGAGCAAGAAGAAAAGUCCAGCUUUGUGGCGGCGAGAUAUAGUAGCGAUGCGCGGGUUUCGAAGCUAGGGUUGUAGUUGGAGUCGAGAAAGGCAGAAAGGUGCUUUUCGCCGGUAUUUCGCAGAGUAUCAUUGAAGCCUAUUUGAGAUUGUUUUGAUUACUGCUUGCCCGUAGACUUCUGGGGGGUAAUAACUUCCUUGUCCGAGCGAAAUAGCCCUUCCUUAUCUUACGUAAGCUUCAGGUAAAGGGAAUACAAUGUUUUAGGCUUACCCCCUUUGUGGUAAGGCAGUCUUUAAGGUUAGCCUUAUUUUGAGUGGAGGGAGUUAUUCGUAUUACAAGGGCAGGUACCAUCUCGGAUUACCUGAGUGAGACAAAACCUCUGGAGAGUAACUGCCUUUUGGUUCUGUCAAUACAGCAACUCGAGACCUAAUAAAGAAGAGAACUUAGCAGAGGAAACUCAAUCCUUAGUAAGCAAAGCAGGGUGAGUUAGGUCUAGUGAGUUAGGUCUACUCGAUCAGAGGAAAGAGAAGAGGAGAGAUUCUACAUUUGCUAUGAGCCAAGUAACUCCUAAACAAGACCUACUUUAACUCGUAACAAAUACGCCAUGCAACUAAUCACGUUGCGACCAAGCUUAGGCGUAAGACUGCCAAGUCACGUAUAAUUAUGAUUUCGCCAAUUCCUGUUUUUGGGGCCGCUUCCUAUAAUUCCUUCGAGUUAUAACAAUAGAUGUUUUUGGGGCCGCUCCACUCUUUCUAUUACAAUAUAUGCUUUCAGCGGCAAACAAGCUGUGUUUUGUUACUAAGGCAAGGGAGUUCGAGCAAACAGUGUUUAGUGACUUUCUUCUAUAAUAGGUGUGGAUAGCAUAAAUGAUUUGAAAGAAGCAAGGAAACAAGCGCAGUGACGGUUACCAUAAGAAUCCGAAUGACGGGUAGCUGAAGAAGAAUCAGAUAGGGCGUUAGCCAGUUCUUUUGGACAGAUAGGGCGUUAGCCAGGGUUAGACAGAUAGGGCGUUAGCCAGCAGAACGAACAAGUAAACAAGUAAUGGCUGUGAGGUUGUGACUCCAAUAAGUAAGUUUAGAAGGAAAAGGGAAGCAGUUUGUAUGGUAUAUUAUUGAGUUUGUCAUUUCACUCUUUUAUUAUAUCAUAUGAAAGCUCAAUUGAAAAUAGGUAUUGGUAAGGGUAAGGGCGCUAACCUAUCAACAAGCUUAGAGCGCAAAGGGGAAAGCCAAUAACUAAACUCUCGUAGACAACACAAGAACCGAUAGAGACUCAACUGCUAAACCGUGUCGUGUAGUGCCCUUCUCUUCUGGAACUCUACUGAAUGAAGUAAACAGUACUAAGCGCUUCAACUGUGCCCUUAAUUAAUGGGCUUAAGGAGCUCCUUUUUUGCUAUCAAAUAUCUCUUUCUCUCGUGCGCAUAUCUAAUAGGUAGGAAUGGAACUCUCUUGCACCUAGGAUAGAGAUUUGUAAAGUGUGUGUCGAACUACUUCUUCUCGAACAGCUGAUUAUCGAGUUGACUUUCUUCUCGUGAUACGAGCUUCUUCCCUUGCUUACCUAUAUUGAAGUAAAGUAAACAGUUCCCUUGCGCUAACGAUAACAGAAUCUCUCUAUUGCUUGCUCGCAUCGCCUUUCAUUCCCAGAGACCUAAGAGUCCUACUUAGAUUCCUUCUUUCCCGCUUCCUAUUGCCUUAACCUUGUAGUGAACUGAACCUUGAUACGGAUCUUGAAACUCUCCAACUGUCCCUUAAUCAGGUGUCUCUGUCCUGCAAGUCAUUUGUAGAGGGUUCGGGUCAAUAGCAAGUAUAAGCUGGUGCCUCACAUUCUCUUAUAGGCCGAUAUUCUUCUCAAAGAACUCACUAACCAUAGUCACUCGCCUUAGCACUUGUUCUUAUGCGCAUGUCAUUGAAUUAUGGAAUAGAGCACAGCUCACUGACACUGAAUCAUUGAAUUGAAACUCUGAUUCCUAUGAUUCUCUAAUGACAAUAUUCUAUGGAAUUAUAUACGAAACUAUAGCCUUCGCAUGAAAAAGGUGAACUCGACACUGAUGUUAAUUGCCUAGACUUCGCCCCCAAAGAAAUAGACUGAUUCACUUCCCCGCCUUAGCUGACUUUUGAACUACUGAUUCUAUCUCUUUUGUCUCCUUUCUUCGCACUGCUUCCCUAUUCUUUGAAAUCUGCGGGCUGGCUUCCCUUUCUUAUGAAUCUGACUGAAAAGUAUCCUGCGUUACUUCCGAACUCCCUUCCUGUUACUGCGGAUUCUUCUCGGCUUCUAUCUACUACUUAACAAUCACCUCCGGAGACUUCCACUCCUGCACAAUUACCUAUCUUUCUGGUUGCUUUUCUCACUUCCUCUUCCACUUUUUUCCUACCGAUUUCUUCUUUUGCGGAUCUUUCCCUUAGCUUUUUACCUAACCAGCAAAUACCC
This 9296-nucleotide long non-coding RNA is filed under the name Musa acuminata (dwarf banana). RNAcentral's name for it is "long non-coding RNA (MACU_LNC008132)". The record is from RNAcentral. Lineage: Eukaryota; Viridiplantae; Streptophyta; Magnoliopsida; Zingiberales; Musaceae.